This 64-nucleotide transfer RNA is filed under the name Dipodomys ordii (Ord's kangaroo rat). It matches the Rfam family "tRNA". From Rfam's summary of the family: Transfer RNA (tRNA) molecules are approximately 80 nucleotides in length. Their secondary structure includes four short double-helical elements and three loops (D, anti-codon, and T loops). Further hydrogen bonds mediate the characteristic L-shaped molecular structure. tRNAs have two regions of fundamental functional importance: the anti-codon, which is responsible for specific mRNA codon recognition, and the 3' end, to which the tRNAs corresponding amino acid is attached (by aminoacyl-tRNA synthetases). tRNAs cope with the degeneracy of the genetic code in two manners: having more than one tRNA (with a specific anti-codon) for a particular amino acid; and 'wobble' base-pairing, i.e. permitting non-standard base-pairing at the 3rd anti-codon position. Lineage: Eukaryota; Metazoa; Chordata; Mammalia; Rodentia; Heteromyidae. The record is from Rfam by way of RNAcentral.
AUUGGCUUAGUGGUAGAGCACUUGCCUAGUGUGCACAAGGCUUUGGGUUCGAUUCCCAGCAAUA